CAAGUCUUGACAUCCCUCUGAAUCCUCUAGAGAUAGGGCUUCUCCUUCGGGAGCAGAGUGACAGGUGGUGCAUGGUUGUCGUCAGCUCGUGUCGUGAGAUGUUGGGUUAAGUCCCGCAACGAGCGCAACCCUUGAUUUUAGUUGCCAGCACUUUAAGGUGGGCACUCUAGAAUGACUGCCGGUGACAAACCGGAGGAAGGCGGGGAUGACGUCAAAUCAUCAUGCCCCUUAUGACUUGGGCUACACACGUACUACAAUGGCUGGUACAACGGGAAGCGAAGCCGCGAGGUGGAGCCAAUCCUAUAAAAGCCGAUCUCAGUUCGGAUUGCAGGCUGCAACUCGCCUGCAUGAAGCUGGAAUCGCUAGUAAUCGCGGAUCAGCAUGCCGCGGUGAAUACGUUCCC
Molecule: ribosomal RNA, 403 nt
Filed under: uncultured bacterium
Lineage: Bacteria
Description: bacterial SSU rRNA
Rfam family: Bacterial small subunit ribosomal RNA
Source: RNAcentral